This is an RNA transcript of Papaver somniferum (opium poppy), 2414 nucleotides long. RefSeq lists it as uncharacterized. NCBI's taxonomy places the organism in Eukaryota, Viridiplantae, Streptophyta, Magnoliopsida, Ranunculales, Papaveraceae. The record is from RefSeq and is a predicted model, not a curated record. The transcript has 11 exons.
UUCAUAAACUUAACCUUAUCUUCUCUGUAUCUCCGCCUAGGCUCACUCACCCUCCCAUUCUCCUUUGCAGAAACCUAAACCAGAUCUAUAACUUCAUUUUUCAUCCAUGGAUUUAAGCCAUGCCAAUCUAAUAAUUAUCUUCUUUCGUCAAAGAUUUCUUGGUCAAGAUGAAAAUGGCAACAGUAUCAGGGUCUUUUGAUUUGGGAGAUUGUGAGGAGGAACAAUAGUUUAGGCAAAGAGUUUGGAAAUGGAGGUCGAAUGGUUUAGUUCUGUAAAUAACCUAACAAUCUCUACAGCGUUAUCUCUUUAAGCACUCUGGGUUAACAAACUCAAAACACUAUUUCAGUUCAAGCUGAUGGAAUAGAGCGAUGUGUUGAUCAAACAUCUAGUGGAAGCAAUUUCUCACCACUUGCUAUAUGCAGGAUCAACAGAGAAUCAAAGAGAAGUUGUUCCUUCCAUGAAUUCCAGUUAAAAUCCAUGUUGGUGGUAAUCCUUACAUGUUUUGGGGUGCAGAAUAGGAAGGUGUCUGGAAUGGGGUUUUAUUUGGGAAACCAAGCAAAGGUGUGAUCUUCUUUUUGGUUUUAAUUCACAGGGAUUGCUGCUUCCACUGGAUAUAAAGCUAUGAUAUAGUAAACCCAUUACUAUUUUGGGUUUUGGGUUAUCACUAUUCUAGUUUGCAAAUGUUGGUUGCUUCAGUUCUUUGGAAGAUCAUUCUCGGUACAUUCAGUUGCACAUACCAGUACAUCAUCCAACUCAUCUGGGUGAGCUUAAACGGCUUCCAAGUAUCAUCUGCUUGAAAUGCUUGCAUAUGAAGAAGGGGGAGAGAUUAUUGGCAAAAUAGGUUGUGAAAUGAUUUUCUUCACAGUGAAAUUAUGUUGUCGUACAUUCUAUGCAGCUAGAGUAUAUAUUGUAUUGCUUAAUCUUGUUUAUGGAAGGUCUAAAGGUUAAUUGAUAACUAAAGGGUUCAAGGAGGGGCUGUUGUUGUGUCACUUUCUUUAUCGAGGACAAGUUAAGGACAGCCUCAAACAUGGGGGGCUGCAGGAUUGUUCCGUGUAGAGCUGGUGUUGGUUGAUGCUCUCACGAGGGAGCACACAACUUAACAGGCAGAUGAGCGGAACAAAAAGAAAGCAAGUGGUGUCUCGGACAUUGAUGAUGGAUGCUAUGCAAAGCGCAUUGCUCUCCAGAGCUGAAAAACCAGAGAUUUGGAACGCCAUCAAGUUUGGAACUGUGUUGGAAUUGGGGUUUUCGAGGAGCAUACUCAUCAAGUGGAUUGCAAGCAACUUAGAAUCAUAUUUCCGUUGUAAUAUCUAUAGUAUCCAUGAUAACAGCUUGUUUACAUAUUCUUAGUUAAGUGUUCAAUCACACACAUGCCUUGGGAACUAGUCUCUCUAAACUUUGAUUUAGGCUCCUAUGUGAAUUUCACAUUUUAGAAAGCCCUUGCUCUAUCGUAAUCAUCUUAUUACUUGCUACGAUGGCUGCAUCUUCAUAAGAUUAUUUUGUUAAUCAUUUAUUUGAUUAAGUUCUCAAAUACUAUUCAGCAAGGAUACAUUUUGUUAAUUAGAACUUAGAAGUCUCCAGCCACAAAAGCUACUAAUCAUUACGUAUUCUUCAUUUUGUGCAUGUCAACUAUUGGGGUUUUAUCAACUAUUAGAAAUUAGCUGCUCGUGUUAUUAUUUUUGUUAAAAAUUUCUACAUUACAUAAAUAAAGAAAUGCUGAUACACAGUUAAUUCCUUGGUUGCAGAACCUUUGUGUUCCUACACACAGUCCAAUAACAGAUAUUCUGGAAACGGAGAAGUGAUUUACUGUUAGCUUUUCGAACCACUGACAGGAGAAGGCUGCAGCAUAAGCAGCUGGAAAAUCCCCUUCCACACUAAGUGUGAGUCCCGUCAUUUGGCCAGUAAACAUGGAAAACUUCUCAUGAGAAGUGUAACGAACUUAAUGGUGAAGGUGGUUGCAGAAGGACAAAGCCUCUUAGCUACACUGCAGGAAGCGUGCAAAGAGCUUCAUUUGUUGAUUUGGAGUUCUCUCAUUGCCGCACUUAAGCAUUUGUGUGGACUCAUGCACAGCUUGUGAGUUUCCUGAGUUGGACUAGGUUUGAAGGCUUCGCUUCCCUUCCUGGACCCUGCAAAACACAUACAUACCAAAGGAACAUAUGGAAAGGGAUGGAAAGGAACAGCUGGACUAUGAAUGGUCAGAGCUUAGUGAGUACAAACCCAGACCCUGACUUUCAGCUGCCUAGGUCCCGUGUGUCCUUGAUGUUGUAGUAUUUUGGUCAGUUUUUCUUUUUAAUGCACAAUGACGUUCCAAGUUUUUUGUUGUCUUAUUUAUUGGUUAACCAGAAGAGAUGGAUGGAUUUUGUAGUUGACUUUGUUGUAUUAUUUUCAGAAUACAAUCCAUCUGUUUUUGCAUGAUA